This is a long non-coding RNA of Arachis duranensis, 556 nucleotides long. RefSeq lists it as uncharacterized. NCBI's taxonomy places the organism in Eukaryota, Viridiplantae, Streptophyta, Magnoliopsida, Fabales, Fabaceae. The transcript is spliced from 3 exons. The record is from RefSeq and is a predicted model, not a curated record.
AGAUUCAUCUCUUGGUUGUCGUCGCUGUGAGCUUGGCCAUUGCCAUUGCAUGUGAGCCUGUCACCGGAGCCCCUUCUCUUUGUCUCUCUGAGUCUGUGACUUUUUCAAAGUGCUUCCAACUUUUACAUUAGCAAAGAUUCAAGAAUUGAAGAAUCUUGAAGAGGAAGUUAAGAGGAACCAAUCCUUAAAAUCUCUCUUGCUAUCUCCUUCUGGUGACUUUGUGAUUUCUUAUUAUGGAAAUAAAAUAGCUGUUUUUGAAUUCAAGAGCAAGAUGGUUGGGCUUUAUUUCGGUCGAGUUCAUAUGAAAGAUGCACUGACUUUACUUUCGGUCUGGUGGAGUUUUAUGACAAGUUAAGGUCAGAUGAAGAGAGCUUUGAGAUUGUGAUGAUACCUCUUGAUGAGUAAGAAGAAUCCUUUAAGAAAGGAUUGGAAAGUAUGCCUUGAUUGUCAUUGUCUUUUGAGGACAAGAACGGUGGAAAAUAAUCAAAAAUAAAGAUCGAAUACUCUUUUAUAUUAAUGUUGUAAUUUUUUUAUAAUGGUGUUAAAUUUAUAGUGA